UCCUUUCCAGUUAGCCCACUUACUGAGU
This 28-nucleotide non-coding RNA is filed under the name Mus musculus (house mouse). The record is from RNAcentral. Lineage: Eukaryota; Metazoa; Chordata; Mammalia; Rodentia; Muridae.